UGAAAUGACUUACAGUCCAGGUCAUCUAGACUAUGAUCUAUUAUUGAGACAACUGGUGAAGUCCUUAACCACUUCAAGUGAAAAGGAGAGUCGACACAAUAUUAUCUGUGAAAGCAAGGCAAUAUGACCCUUGAAACUUCUGUCUCAAUUUCCUCUGCAAUAAAAAGGAUGAUGCCAGCCAAUAAUUCUUAUAAAGAAGGGAGAAAUUAGGCAAAACCUCUGAAGUUGUUGCCCACGGACAAGUCCUUCACUGAGCGACCUAAGAAUAUAAGAGAUGUCUGCCCUGGAACAAGCCUAUGAUCUAUCCCGUCCAAUAUUCUGUGCAAGUCUCCCCACUCC
Molecule: long non-coding RNA, 339 nt
Organism: Tachyglossus aculeatus (Australian echidna)
Lineage: Eukaryota; Metazoa; Chordata; Mammalia; Monotremata; Tachyglossidae
Exons: 3
Source: RefSeq, a predicted model, not a curated record